RNAcentral lists this ribosomal RNA (566 nucleotides) under Orthacris maindroni. RNAcentral describes it as "eukaryotic LSU rRNA". Lineage: Eukaryota; Metazoa; Arthropoda; Insecta; Orthoptera; Pyrgomorphidae. The record is from RNAcentral.
AAGAACUUUGAAGAGAGAGUUCAAAAGUACGUGAAACCGUUCUGGGGUAAACGUGAAAAGUCCGAAAGGUCAAACGGGUGAGAUUCACGUCCAUCUGGCCACUGGCCUCCGCUCUCGGCAGAUGGGGCCGGCCGCCCGCGCGGAGUAAUCCGCGGCGGGGUCGUGUCCGGUUGUUUUUCCACUCGCCGCGGGGUGAAGCCGUUCCAGUGUGCGGUGGACCGCACUUCUCCCCUAGUAGGACGUCGCGACCCGCUGGGUGUCGGCCUACGGCCUGGGUGCGCAGCCUGUCCUUCCGCGGGCCUCGGUUCGCGUCUGUUGGGCAGAGCCCCGGUGCUCUCGGCUGGCUGCUCGGCGGUAUAUCUCGAGGAGUCAAUUCGCCAACUUUUGGGCGCCCGGGCUCCUGGCAAGUGUGCGCGGUUCUUCCCGGAUAACGGACCUACCUGGCCCGGCCCCGGACCCGCGCCGCUGUUGGCUCGGGAAGCUCUCGGGCGGAAUGAUCGCUCCCGUCAGCGGCGCUUCAGCUUUGGACAAUUUCACAACCCGUCUUGAAACACGGACCAAGGAGU